CAGCACUUUCACUUUUAUAAAUGCAUUAGUAUCACAGAGGGACGAAAACAAUUAUUGAAAUGAAAGAUGAAUCAUGGGUUUCAUCUCAACUUUUAUUUCUCCAACAGUAUAAUGGCUGCUGUGGGUGGUCACAUUUUGUAUAGAAAAAUACAUAUUCAUCCCACCUAUAAAAUAUUAGAAAUUGUAAUGAUGUAAAAAAAAAACCAAAAAAACUGUACACCAUACAAAUUUUGAAACAGCUAAUUGCCUUUCAAGGCUUUGUAUGGUUGCACUUAUAACCUGUGUGACCUCAGAGACACCACAUUAAACAUGCUAACCUUUUUUGUUUUUGAAAAUUAACAACAAAAUGAAAACAUUAAUGGUCAAUAAACUAUAAUUUUUUCUUUUGCUUUUUCUUACAAUACAGAUAUUCCAAAAUGAUUUUCCACAAAUUGUGACAAACAAUAUAGUAUUCUUGAUAUCAACUUUAAUUAUAACUAGUAGGAAGUGUUUACAGCAUUUGUCAACUUCAUCCUGUUGUUUCUAAAUACAUAUAUCUUUUAUAUAUAGCCACAUGAUAAACUGAUUAACAGUAUGCAUGCUAAAACUUAUCAAUUGUAUCUUGUAAGAAAACUUUUUUCCAAUAAUAUUUUUUAGUUUUAUCAAAUGAUUGAAUACUGUUGCUGAAGUCGAUUCUCAUAGUCUCCAUCUACAAUUAUUAAAGCUUACUGCUAUAGGAACAGUACAAAUGAAAUAUUGAGAUAAACCCCUUGACCAUGGCAAUUGAACUUGCAAAAACAAUCCAAAAUUGAGCAAAAAAACUUUAUGGUAAUAUUCAAAGAAGACUGGAUGUGACAUAAAGCAUAUACACAAGGAAGGUCCUUCUACUAGAAUACAUAUAUUGGAUAACAUAACUAACAUCAGUACGGUAUACUGGGUACAUUAGUUUACAUUCUUUGGCACUUCAUAAUGAAAAGAAUAACUUAUAAAACUAAAACUUUGUAUGAUUUCAAAAUAUAUUGUGAUUAAAAUGGAUAUUUAAAGGAAAUUUGGAUACAUGUUGAAUUGAUACUUAUAAUACCUGUUAUUAUUAGAGUGAAUGCCUGACCAUAAUUGACGUACAUGGUGAAUUAAUUCAUGCUAACUUGCCUGCUUGUCGAUUUAGUGAUAUCUUAUUUUACACUUUUAAAUGGUAUGAUCAACUUCAAUAAAAUUAGUCCAUUUUGUUGAUAUACAUGAUCAAUUUUUGAUCAUACAUGUAACACACAAGAAUAGACACUAAGGAAAACAGCACCACUACCUAGCAUCAUGUAAAGAUUUGGUUCUUGUUUAUAGAACAUCAAAUUAGUUUCAUAUAAUAUUCCAUUUAAUGAAUUUUUUCUCCUUUUUUUUCUCUUGCCAUCUUUAUGUCUUCUUUUAUAUUCCUUUGACCAUAACAAAAUUCUGAAAACAUCCCUGAUCUAUAAUAUUACAGCAAAAUGCAUUGAGUGUGUAGGUAAAGGAAUUAUGCUUGGUUACCUUGCUUGCUAGCUGAACCAUGAAGUCCUUAUUAGGUUAGGUAUACUACCUCCUUUCAAAGUAGUCCUACAGACAGAUAGAUUUUUCAUCUGUUGGACUAGUCUACUCUUAAAGGAGGGAAGUAUACCUAACUUCUGUGAAAUCAAAUCAAAGGUGUAAUUUUUUUAUAGGAUUAUACAAAUACAGAUGUUUAGAAUAGAUAAAACAAAAUUACAGGUCAACACGAGAUCAUGCAGGUUUUUUAAAAUUGACCAGCUUGUGGAGAUUUCCAGAAAAAUAUACUUAUAUUAAUACCAACAUUACCAAGGCUCAACAUUUUU
This 1817-nucleotide long non-coding RNA is filed under the name Mytilus galloprovincialis (Mediterranean mussel). Lineage: Eukaryota; Metazoa; Mollusca; Bivalvia; Mytilida; Mytilidae. The record is from RNAcentral.